GCGUGGAACAAAGGGCUUGACUUUGAAGCGUGCAGCGGCGUGAAACUUGCAGUGCGGGAAAGUGAAUUUACAGACGCAGGACAGAGGCAGUUAAUCGUACAGUGACAGGUUUCGUAACCUCAGCCGAGCUUGUGAGCUUGCGGCCGCAUUGAGAAAGAACAGGAGCUUACAAAACUGGCAGAGUAUUUUACGGGGAGCGGGAAACGGAAGGAGGAGUCUGGUUCUUAUCUUUGCACGGGGGGAGUGCAGUGCUGGGAGGCGUCUGGGCGGCAUUCCUUGGGGUUCUGGCUUUUUAAAUGGUGUUUUCAAGGCCUUGCCUGGGGGCUUUGCCUGUUGCUGGCUUUGGGGCGAGUCAGCUUUAUACGAAAAAGGGGGAAGUAGCUCUUUUCCUGGCAGGGGUGGACACGUAGUUAUGGGAUGAGCUCGGUGGUACUCGGCCUGUCCACACGAGCGUCUCUGGCUUUGUCGAUAUUCUUGACAAGGAGGGGAAGAGACAAGAGUACGAGGCGGACUCCCAGUAUGGCCAGAACUACUCCUAGUAAGGUUUUAAAUCCCCCGAGGGAUGAAAACCAACCACGGGGGGGCGGGGGGAACCUGGAGACCAUUCCGGUUUCCAGGUUUGUGUUGGAACAUGAGCUAAGUCUCGCAUUCUCGCAAUUAAUUCAUGACGUCCUCCUCAUUGUCAUCGAUUUUUAGGCAACAAUUAGUUAAAUUAAACUCUCCGCAUAUCCCUCCUUCUGACAUAGAUCUAGCGAGAGCAGCAAGAACAAAGGGAAGAGUAGCAUGUUUGUACCUAGGAUGGACAAGAGAUGUUUGCCCAGAGGAGGGGGUUGAGCAAAGCGACAGGUUAAUAGUAAAACAAUUAAGAUGACAAGGAAAAUUACUGGGCUUAAGAUUUCUAACUACAUUUACUUCCUUGACGAAGCUUCGGCCGUGCGUAGACUGGUCAGCUUCCGGGGUGACUAGAGCAGGGCUGUGGUCACUUUCACUGGCAUCUGGGUCCUGUCGUAGGAUCAGCCGGUUUGGAUGGUCUGGGUCUUGCUGGCUGGUCCACUUGUCCUGGGCUGCUGGUUUCAGCCGACUGUGGAGAUCGAAGGCACAGUUCCUGAAACAUUAACAGCAGUGGGAGUGGACAGGAUCGCAGUCUAGGCCCAUCCCAUCUG
Molecule: long non-coding RNA, 1163 nt
Filed under: Homo sapiens (human)
Lineage: Eukaryota; Metazoa; Chordata; Mammalia; Primates; Hominidae
Description: HSALNT0254051
Source: RNAcentral